This 461-nucleotide ribosomal RNA is filed under the name uncultured bacterium. RNAcentral's name for it is "partial 16S ribosomal RNA". It matches the Rfam family "Bacterial small subunit ribosomal RNA", at positions 338 to 795 of the family's 1533-position model. The record is from RNAcentral.
CCUACGGGAGGCUGCAGUGAGGAAUAUUGGUCAAUGGGCGGGAGCCUGAACCAGCCAAGUCGCGUGAGGGAAGACGGUCCUAUGGAUUGUAAACCUCUUUAGGCGGGGAGCAAUGCCGGGCACGUGUGCCCGGAGGGAGAGUACCCGCAGAAUAAGCAUCGGCUAACUCCGUGCCAGCAGCCGCGGUAAUACGGAGGAUGCGAGCGUUAUCCGGAUUUAUUGGGUUUAAAGGGUGCGUAGGCGGAUUUUUAAGUCAGCGGUAAAAUGUCCGGGCUCAACCUGUGGCCUGCAUUUGAAACUGUUUUUCUUGAGUACUGGAGAGGCAGACGGAAUUCCUAGUGUAGCGGUGAAAUGCGUAGAUAUUAGGAGGAACACCAGUGGCGAAGGCGGUCUGUUGGACAGCAACUGACGCUGAGGCGCGAAAGCGUGGGGAGCAAACAGGAUUAGAUACCCGUGUAGUC